GUAGGAGGCAAGCGUUAUCCGGAUUCACUGGGCGUAAAGCGCGUGCAGGUGGUUCGGUAAGUUAGGCGUGAAAUCUCCCGGCUCAACUGGGAGAGGUCGUCUAAUACUACCGAACUUGAGAGCAGAAGAGGAAGAUGGAAUUCCCGGUGUAGUGGUGAAAUGCGUAGAUAUCGGGAGGAACACCAGUGGCGAAGGCGAUCUUCUGGUCUGUUUCUGACACUCAGACGCGACAGCUAGGGUAGUAAACGGGAUUAGAGACCCCGGUAAUCCUAGCCGUAAACGAUGUGAACUUGGCGUUGGUGGGUUAAACUCCAUCAGUGCCGUAGCAAACGCGAUAAGUUCACCGCCUGGGGACUACGGCCGCAAGGUUA
This 371-nucleotide ribosomal RNA is filed under the name uncultured bacterium. Its description in RNAcentral is "bacterial SSU rRNA". It matches the Rfam family "Bacterial small subunit ribosomal RNA", at positions 527 to 896 of the family's 1533-position model. The record is from RNAcentral.